This 425-nucleotide ribosomal RNA is filed under the name uncultured bacterium. Its description in RNAcentral is "partial 16S ribosomal RNA". It matches the Rfam family "Bacterial small subunit ribosomal RNA", at positions 354 to 796 of the family's 1533-position model. The record is from RNAcentral.
GUGGGGAAUCUUGCGCAAUGGGCGAAAGCCUGACGCAGCCAUGCCGCGUGAAUGAUGAAGGUCUUAGGAUUGUAAAAUUCUUUCACCGGGGACGAUAAUGACGGUACCCGGAGAAGAAGCUCCGGCUAACUUCGUGCCAGCAGCCGCGGUAAUACGAAGGGGGCUAGCGUUGCUCGGAAUUACUGGGCGUAAAGGGCGCGUAGGCGGACAGCUUAGUCAGAGGUGAAAGCCCAGGGCUCAACCUUGGAAUUGCCUUUGAUACUGGCUGUCUUGAGUUUGGGAGAGGUGAGUGGAACUCCGAGUGGAGAGGUGAAAUUCGUAGAUAUUCGGAAGAACACCAGUGGCGAAGGCGACUCACUGGCCCAAUACUGACGCUGAGGCGCGAAAGCGUGGGGAGCAAACAGGAUUAGAAACCCGGGUAGUCC